RNAcentral lists this ribosomal RNA (786 nucleotides) under uncultured archaeon. Its description in RNAcentral is "bacterial SSU rRNA". It matches the Rfam family "Archaeal small subunit ribosomal RNA", at positions 85 to 879 of the family's 1478-position model. The record is from RNAcentral.
ACGGCUCAGUAACACGUAGCUAACCUAACCUUAAGUCAAGAAUAACCUCGGGAAACUGAGGACAUGCUUGAUAGAAAAUUUUUUCUGGAAUGAGAAAUUUUUGAAACUCGAGCUUAAGGAUGGGGCUGCGGCUGAUUAGGUAGUUGUUGGUGUAAUGGACCAACAAGCCAAUGAUCAGUAAGGGCUCUUAGCGGAGAAGCCCUGAGAAGGAAUCUGAGACACUAUUCCUAGCCCUACGGGGUGCAGCAGCUAGGGAAAUUUUACAAUGCUCGAAAGAGUGAUAGAGCAAGCCAGAGUGUUUGAUUUAAUCAAACUUUUUUCUGCUGUAAAAAUGCAGAAGAAUAAGGACUGGGCAAGACCGGUGCCAGCCGCCGCGGUAAUACCGGCGGUCCAAGUCGCAUCCAUAUUUAUUGGGUCUAAAACAUCCGUAGCUUGUUUUGUAAGUCUCUUGUGAAAUCCUGCAUCUUAAGUGUAGGGCGUGCAAGAGAUACUACAUUGCUAGAGACCGGAAGACGUAACGAGUAUGAUUGAGGUAACGGUAAAAUGUGUUAAUCUUAAUCAGACUAACAAUGGCGAAGGCACGUUACGAGUACGGUUCUGACAGUGAGGGAUGAAGGCUAGGGGCGCAAAACGGAUUAGAUACCCGUGUAGUCCUAGCAGUAAACACUGCUCACUAAACACUAGUACCUCCUAGAGAGGUAUUAGUGCUGAAGGGAAGCUGAAGAGUGAGCUACCUGGGAAGUAUAGUCGCAAGGCCGAGACUUAAAGGAAUUGGCGGGGGAGCAC